Ribosomal RNA from Setaria italica (foxtail millet), 119 nucleotides. Lineage: Eukaryota; Viridiplantae; Streptophyta; Magnoliopsida; Poales; Poaceae. The record is from Rfam.
CGAUGCGAUCAUACCAGCACUAAAGCACCGGAUCCCACCAGAACUCCGAAGUUAAGCGUGCUUGGGCGAGAGUUGUACUAGGAUGGGUGACCUCCUAGGAAGUCCUCGUGUUGCAUUCC